UGCACUCACCAGAUAAAAGUCCAAUGCACUCUGUGGGGUGAAACAGCCUCUGUCUCAGGUUGGGAGUUGCUGCCAUGGAGACCACAAGAGUGGAGAUUUUCUGACACACAGAAAGGAAUGGAUUACAGCUCCUUCUUAUGUAAAUUUCCAUGGAGGGGAAAAAAGAUUAAAAGGAAAAUAAUUCUGCUUUAGUCGUUUUCCUUUAAGGUGAUAAGAUCCUUUGAUUCCAUCGUGGAGAAGAAGGCAACAGCUGUUUGUCACAAAUGAUGGGAAAUGUGCCAACGUCACAACAAGGUUUGAGGGAGGCACAUCUCAUGCUCGGACAUGAACACCCGAUCAUCAUGCUUAUGAACUACAAAAGGAUCUCCAGUAUGGGCUCACGGCAGGUAAUUGUUUUGAGACUUAUGUCUGAAAUGUUUGUAUCCCACCCAAAUAUUUAAUUGUUAACUUUGAUAGGUGUAGAAUUCUAGGCUAGAAAUAAUUUUUUUCUACAGAAUUCUAAAGUCAUUGUUACAUUAUCUUUUUGCUUCUACUGGGGCUGUUGAGAAAUUCACAGUCAUUUUGGUAUUUUGAGCAAUGAUUUUUACCUUUUUCUGAAAAGUUUUAAAAUUCCCUCUUUUAUGUCUAUUGUUCUGAAAGUUUAAGAUGAUGGAACUUAGUGUGAGUUUAUUUUUAUCUAUUGUACUGAAUAUUUACUGUACCUUUUAAGUCUAGAAACUCAUGCCCUUCAGUACUGAUAAAUUUCUUGGAUUAUUUCUUGUGUCUUUUUUCUUCUAUUUUUCAAGUUCUUUUUCUGAAAUUUUAGUUACUCAGUUGAUGAACUCCUAGAAUGAUUUUCUAUAUUUCUUAUCUUUUAUAUCAUAUCUUCCAUCUUUUUGAUUUUUCAUUCUACUUUCUAAGAGAUUUCCCUAAAUUUAUCUUCUAACUAUUUGACUGAAAUUUUCAUUCUGGCUGUCAAAUUUGAAUUUAUAAUUACUAUCUUGUUUUACAAUUGUUUUCCUUUUGCCAGAAUAUUGUUUUUAUUUAAUAAAUUACAAUAACUUCUCCUAUUUGUCUGAGGAUGUUGAUGAUAGUUUCCUUUUGAAGUUUUUAUUUUCCUGCAGAGUUUUCUAUAAGUUGCUUUUUUUUCCCCCAUAAUAUUUUGGCCUUUACAGUUGGCCCUUGAAUAACAUGAAUUUGAACUGCCUGAGUCUGCUAAUAUGUGGAUUAUCUUCUGCUUCUGCACCCUGAGACAGCAAGACCAACCCUUCCUCUUGCUUCUUUUCCUUAGCCUAUUCAACGUGAAGAUGACUAAGGUAAGGACCUUUGUGACGAUCCACUUCCACUCAAUAAAAAAUACAUAUUUUUUUCC
Molecule: long non-coding RNA, 1351 nt
Filed under: Homo sapiens (human)
Lineage: Eukaryota; Metazoa; Chordata; Mammalia; Primates; Hominidae
Description: long intergenic non-protein coding RNA 1151
Source: RNAcentral